AUGACGGUGUUCCACUUCCUCAACUGCGCGGUCCUCACCUUCGGCCCCCACGUCGUCUACUACUCCGCCACCCCCCUGUCAGAGUAUGACACGAUUGGCACCAGUGUAAAAGCAGCUGUUGUUUAUCUUGGAGCAGCACUUGUAAAGCUUGUUUGUUUAGCAACGUUCCUCAAAGUACCUGAUGCGAAUGAUAGCUUUGAUCCCUACCAGGAAUUAAUGAAAAUUCUAAUUGGGUUUAUAGAUGUUGCUGGCCUUUAUUUUGCUUUGACACAGUUGACCCACAGAAACAUCUCCCAGAACCAUAAGUUCCAGGCUGUUGGUCUUGGCUGGGCUUUUGCUGAUUCAGUUCUGCACAGGCUUGCACCUCUCUGGAUUGGGGCACGAGGGCUUGAAUUUACUUGGGAGUACAUAUUCCAAGGACUUGAAGCAAAUGCCAAUCUUGUGAUGACCCUCUCCCUUGCUGCAUUAGGAUCCUUGAUGUGGCUGAGGAAGAACAAACCUAGGACUUUAAUUCCAAUAAUUUAUGCAUGUGCUCUGCUUCUGGCAACAAUGCCAUCUAUCACCAGUUACUUGCGGAGAUCAUUGGAGUGGCAGACUCCCAAGGUGGUUGGCUUCGAGCUCUUCUCCUCCUUGGUUAUGGCUUUCAUCAGCUGGCAGCUGUUCUCGGCUUGUCAGAGGCCGAUGUAA
This 687-nucleotide ribosomal RNA is filed under the name Triticum aestivum (bread wheat). RNAcentral describes it as "partial small subunit ribosomal RNA". The record is from RNAcentral. Lineage: Eukaryota; Viridiplantae; Streptophyta; Magnoliopsida; Poales; Poaceae.